Myxocyprinus asiaticus (Chinese sucker) is the source of this 2421-nucleotide RNA transcript. RefSeq lists it as uncharacterized. The record is from RefSeq and is a predicted model, not a curated record. NCBI's taxonomy places the organism in Eukaryota, Metazoa, Chordata, Actinopteri, Cypriniformes, Catostomidae. The transcript has 12 exons.
GACAGACGCGUGCGUCGCGGAGGAAAGCGAUUCAUCUGCUCUUUCUCUCAUAAACGCUUUAAAAGUACGAUCGAUCACCGUGAAGGCAAGACAUUAUCAGUAUUUGUAUCAAUGCUUUGGGAGUAAAUAGUCAUGGCAGAGAGACACUUUGUGUUUGCUGAUGAGAAUGAGCUGUUUAGUCUGAUGAAGGACAUCGACUGCCUGUACUGCAGGAAUCCAGUCCCUGCAUCUAAACAUCACCUCGAAAAGAGACACCUCAAAUUCGCCAUGUAUUACAAAGAUGCUGACAUUGGGAAGUUCUCUAUUCCCUGUUACUGUGCUGAUGGAGGGCAUGGCAGGAGCCACUGGCAUUGCCCAAUAUGCCCUAAAAUAUUGCAAAGGACACAGGAUUACAGAAACCACAUCACCAAUCACGGUGUUAAGAUGACCAAGAACAAACCAGCUAAAGCACAGGAAAGACAUGGCCAAUGUCGAAAAAAGGAAAGCAAAGAGAAGGCGGCAAGAGAUUUACCAUCAUUUGCAGAGGAGUUGUGUAUGCCACUGGAUAUUGACACGCAGAAAGAGAGACACUUUGUGUUUGCUGAUGAGAAUGAGCUGUUUAGUCUGAUGAAGGACAUCGACUGCCUGUACUGCAGGAAUCCAGUCCCUGCAUCUAAACAUCACCUCGAAAAGAGACACCUCAAAUUCGCUAUGUAUUACAAAGAUGCUGACAUUGGGAAGUUCUCUAUUCCCUGUUACUGUGCUGAUGGAGGGCAUGGCAGGAGCCACUGGCAUUGCCCAAUAUGCCCUAAAAUAUUGCAAAGGACACAGGAUUACAGAAACCACAUCACCAAUCAUGGUGUUGAGGUGACAGACAACACACCAGACAAAAUACACAAGUAUCACAAAAAGCUGCAAUCAGGCAUUGAUGCUCAAGAGGCCAACUUGAUAUUGAAAGCCAAGGAUGUGCACACUUUUGAACAGGACAACUUUGGGGAGCUGCAACCUACGACAUUCCUGUUUGAGACUCUACAAACAGACAAUACUCCAGACAAGAAGUUGACAUGUCAAACAUGUGGAAUCCUCUUUACCAGUUUAUCAAAUUUGAGACGGCAUGAGAGGCUACAGCACGGCCAAUUCCAACAACCCAUGUUCUGCAUAGAUGCCAAAAAUGGCAUCUACAUUACAACCAAGGACCUGCAUGGACCGAGAGUCCCCAUUCAUGUCCUUAAAUCUUUCGCCCUGCAGAUUAUGCUCUGUGAAUCAAAAGAAUGCAGAGAGUUCAUGAUAGCACAGGGCCAAUGUGGAAAUCCAGGUAAAGAAUGUUGUCACCUUGAGAGAACCAGUCAUGCACAGCAAUACGUUCCCCCUCCAGCGCUCUGCCUUAGCUCUCUGGAAGAAAUGACGAACAAAGGCCUCCUGUCCAAAUCGGAGAAACAACAGUGCCAAGAGAUGAACUCAAGGGCGUGCUUAGAGGGUGUCGAUUGUGUGUACCCUAUUUUUUGGGGGAAGUUUGAGCUCUUGGACAAAUACGUCAACUUUUCUGUGUAUACCAACCUCAAAGACACAUGGUGCCAGUUUGGGAGGACACAUGUCUCGUUUGACACCAGAUCCGGAAACUGGAAAUGCCUGUGUGAACACAAAAGAAACGGUUGCAUCCACAAGUAUUUGUCAAUGUGGUGGGUGUUCCAAGAGCGACCUGAAUUGUUUCCCAACAACCUCGAUACAAACCCUGAGAGAGAGGACAAAAUUGAGGAAGUAGUUGUGGUGGUAGAGAAUGACAUUUAAAUAACAGAUGACAACUAGGGAUGUGCAAAGCUACCAUAGUUGACUCGUCGCUGAACGAUCGACACCAAGAUAUUAAUGAGCACAACCCACUGAACAGACUGUACACCAGUACUUCAGAGCCUUCCAAUCACAAAAAAUUAAAAUAAAAUAAAAAAUUACAUAUUGUGUUUAUCCUGACUGAGGUCUAUACCCUUUAUAUUGUCUGGUAACUCAAGUUAACUGAGUUACUUUGCAAAAUAUCACAUGCUUCUUAUGUUUAAAAGAAAUGUUUUGUACUGCUGUUUGACAGUGUAAUUCAUAUUUAGUGAGUAUGAGAAGUUAUGUUUAUGUUCUUGUUUGUGAGCAGUCUGAUCAUUUGCAGUGUUUCUGAGGGCCAGUUAGACUCUUUGCUUUCUGUAGUUUUGCACUGUUGUUCUUGAGCUAAUAAGUAUGUUGAGACAAUGUUAAAGAAUUUAUAUUUUCAAUACAUUUGAUUCUGGAAAGUAAAUACAAGUUCUGAUCCUUUAUAACUGUCAUCAUAUUCCUCCUGAAUUGUCCUUUUUAACUUUUUAAAAAAGGUUACAACAUCUGGUUAAAAUGUUUUAUAUUUUACACAUCAUGUCUUGUUAAGUGUGAUUAAACAUGUUAAAGCAAAAUAUGUGACCUCGUGUUGCU